GGAGGAGUCGCAUAGUGGCCUAGUGCAGCGGUUUACUAAACCGCCAAAUCGCAAGAUUUCGAGAGUUCGAAUCUCUCCUCCUCCG
RNAcentral lists this transfer RNA (85 nucleotides) under Candidatus Levyibacteriota bacterium. RNAcentral's name for it is "tRNA-Ser". It matches the Rfam family "tRNA". Rfam says of the family: Transfer RNA (tRNA) molecules are approximately 80 nucleotides in length. Their secondary structure includes four short double-helical elements and three loops (D, anti-codon, and T loops). Lineage: Bacteria; Candidatus Levyibacteriota. The record is from RNAcentral.